Molecule: ribosomal RNA, 562 nt
Filed under: Hanseniaspora uvarum
Lineage: Eukaryota; Fungi; Ascomycota; Saccharomycetes; Saccharomycodales; Saccharomycodaceae
Description: partial large subunit ribosomal RNA
Source: RNAcentral
GGCGAGUGAAGCGGUAAAAGCUCAAAUUUGAAAUCUGGUACUUUCAGUGCCCGAGUUGUAAUUUGUAGAAUUUGUCUUUGAUUAGGUCCUUGUCUAUGUUCCUUGGAACAGGACGUCAUAGAGGGUGAGAAUCCCGUUUGGCGAGGAUACCUUUUCUCUGUAAGACUUUUUCGAAGAGUCGAGUUGUUUGGGAAUGCAGCUCAAAGUGGGUGGUAAAUUCCAUCUAAAGCUAAAUAUUGGCGAGAGACCGAUAGCGAACAAGUACAGUGAUGGAAAGAUGAAAAGAACUUUGAAAAGAGAGUGAAAAAGUACGUGAAAUUGUUGAAAGGGAAGGGCAUUUGAUCAGACAUGGUGUUUUUUGCAUGCACUCGCCUCUCGUGGGCUUGGGCCUCUCAAAAAUUUCACUGGGCCAACAUCAAUUCUGGCAGCAGGAUAAAUCAUUAAGAAUGUAGCUACUUCGGUAGUGUUAUAGCUUUUUGGAAUACUGUUAGCCGGGAUUGAGGACUGCGCUUCGGCAAGGAUGUUGGCAUAAUGGUUAAAUGCCGCCCGUCUUGSACACGGG